UUAGAUCCUCUUUAUCGUCAUGAAAAGGCUUAAGCAUCACAUGAAACACUGUUUGGAAUUUGAGUUUUGUCAGCAACUCUAGCUUGUACGCCACUCUAUUUACUAUCUUCACAAUUCAAAAGGGUCCUUCAUACCAUCACACAAGCCUCUUCUGCAAACCAUUAUGUCAUAAAACAAAAGUAGUUUAAUAAGGACUAAAUUACCAACCUAAAAUUGCACAUCCCUUUGAUUCUGAUCCACCUACUUCUUGUUAUGCUUACUGACAUUGUUUAGACAAGCUCUAGCCAAGUCAUUUUUCUCUAGUCAAGCUUUGAGUGACAGCCUGCAGGUUCCCCAAUCUGCCUAUCUUGGAAUACGGAUCAAGGAGUGACAUGUGUGCAAGUCAAUAGGCUAGAAAACCAGUAAGGUGCAAGGAAGCUGAUUGGUGGGAUCCCUCGCGGGAGUAUUGCCGAUCGACCUUGAUCUUUUGAGAAGGGAUAGAGUGAGAGAAUGCCUGUCAGGACAUAAAACAUGGUAAACUAUGCAUAAGCGGGGCGAAGCUAGAGGAAACUCUGGUGGAGGCCUAUAGUGAUAUUGACAUGAAAAUCAUUCGUCUGACUUGGGUAUAGGGGUGAAAGACUAAUCUAACCGUCUAGUAGUUGGUUCCCUGCAAAGUUUGCCUUAGGAUAGUUGGAGCCCUUAAUGAGUUCUAUCGGGUAAAGCCAAUGAUUAGAGGCAUUGGGGGCUUAACACCCUCGAUAUAUUCUUAAACUUUAAAUAGGUAGGAUAGUGCAGCUGCUUCGUUGAGCCAUGCCAUAUAAUCGAGAGCUCCAAGUGGGAUAUUUUUGGCAAGCAGAACUGAUGUUGCGGGAUGAACCGGAAGCAGAGUUAUGGUGCCCAAUUGCGUGCUAACCUAUAACCUACAAAGGGUGUUGGUAAUGAGAGUGUAAAAACUCACCUGCUGAGUCAACUAGCCCCAAAAAUGGAUGGUACUUAAGUGCGUGACCUAUACUCGACCGUCGAGGCAAAGGCUAGGCCCCAUUGAGUAUAAGGGCACAAAAGUCGUUUAAAAACUCAAGGUGAGAGCUUGGACAGAAUGGCCAUCGGUGUAGAUCUUAUUAGUGGUAGCAAAUAUUCAAAUAAGAACUUUGAAGGCUGAAGAGGGGAAAAUCUCCAUGUGGAUGAGACUUGCACAUGGGUUAGUCAAUCCUAAAAGAUGGGAGAAGCUCAUCUGAUAGCGAGUCUAUCGUGAGCUUUGAAAGGGAAUUGGGUUAAAAUUCCUUAACUAGGAUGCGCCUACUGACGUUAACGUUAGGGAGUCUGAAGACAUCAGCGGAGGCAUCGGGAAGAGUUAUCUUUUCUAUUUAAUAGUUUGACAUCCUUGAAAUGGCUCCGCUAGAGUAGGAGGACUGAGUGUUGUCUGUGUUUAGUCGUACUCAUAACUGCAUCAGGUUUCCAAGGUGAAAAGCCUCUGGUCAAUGGAACAAUGUAUGCAAGGGAAGUUGGCAAAAUGGAUCCGUAACCUUGGGAAAAGGAUUGGCUCUAAGGGCUGGGCAUAGGGGUCCUAGUACCGAACACAUCGGUUGCUGGUGUAUUGCUCGAGCUGUUCUCAUGGUGAGAGUAGGUUUCCACGUGCCAGCUAGAGGAUGGACUAGGAAUGACUCCCUUUGAGGCCUUUCUCAGGUAAUAAACAGUCGAUUUAGAACUAAUACGGACAAGGCAAAUCUGAUAGGUUAAUUAAAACAAUGUAUUGUGAUGGUCCCUACGAAUGCUCAGGCAAUAUGAUUUCUGCCCAGUGUUCUGAAUGGAUUAACAAGAUUCCCACUUUUCUUGUUUACUACCCAGUGAAACUAAAGGCAAGGGAACGGGCUUGGCAGAAUCAGUGGGGAAAGAAGACCCUAUUGAGCUUGACCCUAGUCAGACUUUGUGAAAUGACUUGAUAGGUUUAGGAUAAGUGGGAGCUAUUGGGUGAAAUUGAAAUACCACUAGUUUUAACUUUAUUUUAGUUAUUUUGUGAAUCGAAGGUGGGGCCCAACCCUUCUUUUUGGACAUAAGGCCGGCUUCGACCGGUCGAUCUGGGUAGAAGACAUUGUUAUGUAGAGAGUUUAGUUGAGACAACAAAUAUUCUAAAAUAUAACGUAGGUGUCCAGUGAUGAGCUCAAUGAGAACAAAAAUAUCGUGUGGAAUAAAAGGGUAAAAGCUCAUUUGAUUUUGAUUUUCAGUAUUAAUACGAACCUUCAACGCAUGGCUUAUUGAUACUUUAGACAUUCAGAAUUUGAAGGUAGAGGUGUCAGAAAAGUGACCACAGGUAUAACUGGCUUGUCCCAGCCAAUCGUUCAUAGCGACGUUGCUUUUUGAUCAUUCGAUGUCAACUCUUCCUAUCAUUGUGAAGCAGAAUUCACCAAGUGUUGGAUUGUUCACCCACUAAUAGGGAAUGUGAGCUGGGUUUAGAUCAUCAUGAGACAGGUUAGAUUUACCCUACUGAUGAUCGCGUCGCGUUGCAUCGCAAUAGUAAUUCAACCUAGUAUGAGAGGAACUGUUGAUUUGCACAAUUAGUCAUUGCGCUUGGUUGAAAAGCCAGUGGCACGAAGCUACCCUGUAUUGAAUUAUCAUUGAACGCCUCUAAGUUAAAAUCUAGGCUAGAAGCGACGCACGCACUCAUCGCCAUAUUGCUGACCCGCAAUAGGGCCUUCGGUCCCCAAAGGCACCUGUUGUAGGUGCAUGACUAUAGAGCUAUAGUUGCAGACGCCUUUGUAACAGGCCAAUUUUGGGGCUAGUUAGAAAAGUGGUUUCAAAACCAGUAACCCAAGGUCGAAGAAAUUAUU
Molecule: ribosomal RNA, 2804 nt
Filed under: Gossypium hirsutum (cotton)
Lineage: Eukaryota; Viridiplantae; Streptophyta; Magnoliopsida; Malvales; Malvaceae
Description: eukaryotic LSU rRNA
Rfam family: Eukaryotic large subunit ribosomal RNA
Source: RNAcentral